RNAcentral lists this ribosomal RNA (449 nucleotides) under uncultured bacterium. RNAcentral's name for it is "partial 16S ribosomal RNA". It matches the Rfam family "Bacterial small subunit ribosomal RNA", at positions 29 to 523 of the family's 1533-position model. The record is from RNAcentral.
AACGAACGCUGGCGGCAUGCCUAACACAUGCAAGUCGAACGAGAUCUUCGGGUCUAGUGGCGCACGGGUGCGUAACGCGUGGGAAUCUGCCCUGUGGUUCGGAAUAACAGUUGGAAACAACUGCUAAUACCGGAUGAUGACGAAAGUCCAAAGAUUUAUCGCCAGAGGAUGAGCCCGCGUAGGAUUAGCUAGUGGGUGUGGUAAAGGCGCACCAAGGCGACGAUCCUUAGCUGGUCUGAGAGGAUGAUCAGCCACACUGGGACUGAGACACGGCCCAGACUCCUACGGGAGGCAGCAGUGGGGAAUAUUGGACAAUGGGCGAAAGCCUGAUCCAGCAAUGCCGCGUGAGUGAUGAAGGCCUUAGGGUUGUAAAGCUCUUUUACCCGGGAUGAUAAUGACAGUACCGGAAGAAUAAGCUCCGGCUAACUCCGUGCCAGCAGCCGCCGUAA